Long non-coding RNA from Pseudoliparis swirei, 364 nucleotides. RefSeq lists it as uncharacterized. NCBI's taxonomy places the organism in Eukaryota, Metazoa, Chordata, Actinopteri, Perciformes, Liparidae. The record is from RefSeq and is a predicted model, not a curated record. The transcript has 3 exons.
AUUUUGUCGACCUGAAGAUGUGACGAUUUGCAGCGCAUCACCUCUGUGGCUCAUUUCAUCAUGAGCCCAGUGGGGACUUUCAUCUGAGUGCACACAGACCCGUGGGGACUCGCGUCACCGCGGGGACCAACAAUGAGCUCGAACCGAUGUGACCCUCCUCCACCCCGGUCUCCUCCAAUCGGCGUUAUGACAACUCUUCUUCUGCACCACCACCAGUGUCUGGACUCCAUGGGGGGAUUCUGCCUUCCCAGAUAUCAUUGUCUCUACCCCUGGCUUCUCCUAAUUCAGGAUGGAGUCCAAUCGCCAAAAAGACUUUGCACUAUUUCAAUAUGCAAUUGUAAAUAAAUUAUUGUUAAACUCUAAA